Sipha flava (yellow sugarcane aphid) is the source of this 252-nucleotide long non-coding RNA. RefSeq lists it as uncharacterized. NCBI's taxonomy places the organism in Eukaryota, Metazoa, Arthropoda, Insecta, Hemiptera, Aphididae. The transcript has 3 exons. The record is from RefSeq and is a predicted model, not a curated record.
UCCAUCAUGUCCCGCAUAAUAAAAUAUACUGUUAAUAGUAUUGAUAAUUGGUGAAAUGUAGGAAUUUUAACAUUAUAGUGGAAUUUGUCCGAUACUACAAAAACUCAAUUAUGUGAAGAAUGGAAAAAAUGAAAACAAAACCACUCAUUUGUAAUUGAUACCAUCUGGAUAUCAGAUUAAUUUUCUUACCUCGAGACUGCUAAAAUGUUACCAACAUCGUUAUUGAACCAAAUGUUGCGCUUCAAUCGGACC